This 253-nucleotide ribosomal RNA is filed under the name uncultured bacterium. RNAcentral describes it as "partial 16S ribosomal RNA". It matches the Rfam family "Bacterial small subunit ribosomal RNA", at positions 524 to 776 of the family's 1533-position model. The record is from RNAcentral.
UACGUAGGGCGCAAGCGUUGUCCGGAAUUAUUGGGCGUAAAGAGCUCGUAGGCGGCUUGUCACGUCGAUUGUGAAAGCCCGAGGCUUAACCUCGGGUCUGCAGUCGAUACGGGCUAGCUAGAGUGUGGUAGGGGAGAUCGGAAUUCCUGGUGUAGCGGUGAAAUGCGCAGAUAUCAGGAGGAACACCGGUGGCGAAGGCGGAUCUCUGGGCCAUUACUGACGCUGAGACACGAAGGCCAGGGGAGCAAACGGG